This 72-nucleotide transfer RNA is filed under the name Ictidomys tridecemlineatus (thirteen-lined ground squirrel). RNAcentral's name for it is "Spermophilus tridecemlineatus (thirteen-lined ground squirrel) tRNA". It matches the Rfam family "tRNA". Rfam says of the family: Transfer RNA (tRNA) molecules are approximately 80 nucleotides in length. Their secondary structure includes four short double-helical elements and three loops (D, anti-codon, and T loops). Further hydrogen bonds mediate the characteristic L-shaped molecular structure. tRNAs have two regions of fundamental functional importance: the anti-codon, which is responsible for specific mRNA codon recognition, and the 3' end, to which the tRNAs corresponding amino acid is attached (by aminoacyl-tRNA synthetases). tRNAs cope with the degeneracy of the genetic code in two manners: having more than one tRNA (with a specific anti-codon) for a particular amino acid; and 'wobble' base-pairing, i.e. permitting non-standard base-pairing at the 3rd anti-codon position. Lineage: Eukaryota; Metazoa; Chordata; Mammalia; Rodentia; Sciuridae. The record is from Rfam by way of RNAcentral.
GGGGCUGUAGCUCAGUGGUGGAGCGCUUACCUUGCACGUGUGAAGCACUGGGUUCAAUCCUCAGCACCCAUA